CCUAUACUUUCACCGUCCAGCAAAAGAUGUCUCAAGUUUGUCAAAAUGUUGAUGUAUGUAGACAUGACUUGAUGUAUAGAUGCAUUCAAAUUUAAUCAAAAUUCAGACAUCCUUUGUUAGACGAAGGAAGUACUUU
Brachypodium distachyon (stiff brome) is the source of this 136-nucleotide non-coding RNA. The record is from Rfam. NCBI's taxonomy places the organism in Eukaryota, Viridiplantae, Streptophyta, Magnoliopsida, Poales, Poaceae.